UACGGAGGGGGCUAGCGUUGUUCGGAAUUACUGGGCGUAAAGCGUACGUAGGCGGCUUUGUAAGUUAGAGGUGAAAGCCCGGGGCUCAACCCCGGAAUUGCCUUUAAGACUGCAUCGCUCGAACGUCGGAGAGGUGAGUGGAAUUCCGAGUGUAGAGGUGAAAUUCGUAGAUAUUCGGAAGAACACCAGUGGCGAAGGCGGCUCACUGGACGACUGUUGACGCUGAGGUACGAAAGCGUGGGGAGCAAACAGG
Molecule: ribosomal RNA, 253 nt
Filed under: uncultured bacterium
Lineage: Bacteria
Description: partial 16S ribosomal RNA
Rfam family: Bacterial small subunit ribosomal RNA
Source: RNAcentral